RNAcentral lists this transfer RNA (69 nucleotides) under Anguilla reinhardtii (speckled longfin eel). RNAcentral describes it as "tRNA-Glu". It matches the Rfam family "tRNA". From Rfam's summary of the family: Transfer RNA (tRNA) molecules are approximately 80 nucleotides in length. Their secondary structure includes four short double-helical elements and three loops (D, anti-codon, and T loops). Further hydrogen bonds mediate the characteristic L-shaped molecular structure. tRNAs have two regions of fundamental functional importance: the anti-codon, which is responsible for specific mRNA codon recognition, and the 3' end, to which the tRNAs corresponding amino acid is attached (by aminoacyl-tRNA synthetases). tRNAs cope with the degeneracy of the genetic code in two manners: having more than one tRNA (with a specific anti-codon) for a particular amino acid; and 'wobble' base-pairing, i.e. permitting non-standard base-pairing at the 3rd anti-codon position. The record is from RNAcentral. Lineage: Eukaryota; Metazoa; Chordata; Actinopteri; Anguilliformes; Anguillidae.
GUUUCUGUAGUUGAAUUACAACGGUGGUUUUUCAUAUCAUUGGUUUCGGUUAAAGUCCGGUUAGAAAUU